AGGAUACACCACUGCCGGUAUGGAGUUCCAGAAGUGAUUGAGAGUGACCAAGGAACCUCCUUUACUGCCUCAUUCGCACGAGAAGUCUGGGCAGCACUGGGGGUGACCCUUGCCUUCCACACACCCUAUCACCCACAGAGUAGUGGUAAGGUAGAACGCAUGAAUGGCACACUGAAAGCCAGAUUGCUCAAAAUGUCCCAGGAAACUAGUAUGCCCGGGCCAGAGAGCCUUCCAGUAGCACUAUUUAGCGUGAGAUACACUCCUAGGGGCAAACACAGCUUAUCACCUUAUGAGAUUCUGUUCGGCACAGCACCAAGGUUAGGUUAUUACUUUCCCCAACAACUUCAAAUACAGUCAGAUGCAAUGGUAGACUAUGUGACUGCUCUCUCUCAUGCCUUAACCAAAAUCCAUGCCCAAGUGUUUUCUUCUAUUCCAGAUCCUGAGUAGAACACAGGUACACACAAGUUGCUCCCAGGUGAUUGGGUUAUGGUCAAGAAAUUUCUCAGGAAGCACACCCUUGAGCCAAGAUUUGAUGGUCCCUACCACGUGCUCUUAAUUACAGCUACUUCAGUAAAAUUGGCUGGGUAAAGUUCCUGGAUCCACGCCUCCCACUGCAAGAAAGUGCCUGCUCCAGCAGAAGCUGACCCUGCUGCAUAAUAAUGUUGUUGCAUGUUUUAUAUUUUCCUAUGCUGCUAGACUUUGCAUGGGCCCAACAGGUGGCCAUAACCAAAGAUAACUAGGUUUACACAUUUUGGUACAAUUCUUCAAACACAGAUGUAGCUACUUAUACCUUUGAUUACUGUGAUAUUGUUGCUUGCACCUUUCCACAGACACAGUAUGCUGCUAUAUACAAAGACAUAUCCAGUAAGAAAGACCCAUACAUCUGUGUGAAAGGGGGUGCAUGGGGACAAGAUUGUAGUUCUUGGAAGGCAGCUGGGUGGAACACAGGUAGAUCAUGGGGAUACAGCCCUCAGAACGCCUUUGACAGAAUUGAUAAAGAUGGAAAAUCAUUACUCUCUAGAAUGACUCUAAAUAAACCCAUUGGGUCGACACCUAUUAAACUUACCCUAAACAUAGAACUCCCCAGUCCGGGAGAUGCAGGAGAGUAUGUACUGGAGAGGCGGUGGUUCAUACAAUAAGCUAGGGACAUUCUACUUGCAAGACAUGCUCAACUCAUCUGACUGGGUAGGAACUUCACAUAUGACUAUUAACCCAUUUAAGCCUCACAUCAGGACUCUACGUGACAUGGUCGCUAUUGCUAACCCUACCUUUGAAGACACCAUGGCUGUGGAAACUGGGUUCUCUGACACUAACCUGUGGCUUGAAUGGAUGAGAUAUAAUGCUAACUCCCACAAUAAGACCAACUGUUAUUUUUGUGGAGGGGCUAGGCCCCAUCUGGGUACAGUACCCUUGAAUCUAUCUCCUGAUAUAGAAUUAUGUGUCUUAAGUCUUUAUGCACAAUCCACCACCAAUUCUUCAACGUGUGAAUCAUGGAAAAAGGUCUAUCCAAUUACCCAGGGACAUGUUAGACCACCUGAUGGAGUAUACCCAGGGACGUAUUAGCCGCGAGGCAAACAAGGCAUUUGCCUUGGGCGGCAUUUUUCAGGGGGCGGCA
Molecule: long non-coding RNA, 1615 nt
Filed under: Pelobates cultripes (western spadefoot toad)
Lineage: Eukaryota; Metazoa; Chordata; Amphibia; Anura; Pelobatidae
Source: RNAcentral